This 415-nucleotide ribosomal RNA is filed under the name uncultured microorganism. Its description in RNAcentral is "bacterial SSU rRNA". It matches the Rfam family "Archaeal small subunit ribosomal RNA", at positions 330 to 745 of the family's 1478-position model. The record is from RNAcentral.
GCGCACCAGUCGAGAAAACUUCACACUGUGCGAAAGCACGAUGAGGGAAUCCCAAGUGCUUGCACGUAAGUGUAAGCUGUUUCUCUGUCUAAAACGCAGAGAGAGUAAGGGCUGGGUAAGACGGGUGCCAGCCGCCGCGGUAAUACCUGCAGCUCAAGUGGUGACCGUUAUUAUUGGGCCUAAAACGUCCGUAGCCGGUUUAAUAAAUGCCUGGGUAAAUUGUGUAGCUUAACUAUACGAAUUCCGGGUAGACUGUUAAACUUGAGACCGGGAGAAGUUAGAGGUACUCCUGGGGUAGAGGUGAAAUUCUGUAAUCCUAGGGGGACCACCAGUGGCGAAGGCGUCUAACUAGAACGGGUCUGACGGUGAGGGACGAAGCCCUGGGGCGCAAACGGGGAUUAGAUACCCCCGUAGU